UACGUAGGGCGCAAGCGUUGUCCGGAAUUAUUGGGCGUAAAGAGCUCGUAGGCGGUUUGUCGCGUCGGCUGUGAAAUCCUGGGGCUUAACUCCGGGCCUGCAGUCGAUACGGGCAGACUUGAGUGUGGUAGGGAGACUGGAAUUCCUGGUGUAGCGGUGAAAUGCGCAGAUAUCAGGAGGAACACCGGUGGCGAAGGCGGGUCUCUGGGCCAUUACUGACGCUGAGGAGCGAAAGCGUGGGGAGCGAACAGG
This 252-nucleotide ribosomal RNA is filed under the name uncultured bacterium. Its description in RNAcentral is "partial 16S ribosomal RNA". It matches the Rfam family "Bacterial small subunit ribosomal RNA", at positions 524 to 776 of the family's 1533-position model. The record is from RNAcentral.